GGUCAAGCAAAAGAAGGGCGUACGGUGGAUGCCUUGGCGCCAAGAGGCCGAUGAAGGGCGUAGCAAGCUGCGAUAUUCCCCGGUGAGCUGCAAGCGAGCGUUGACCCGGGGGAUCCCGAAUGGGGAAACCCGGCGCGGUUUACCGCGUCAUCCUGUACUGAAUCCAUAGGUGCAGGAGGGUAAGUGGGGGAACUGAAACAUCUCAGUACCCUGAGGAAAAGAAAGCAACAUGCGAUUCCCUAAGUAGUGGCGAGCGAAAGGGGAACAGCCCAAACCAGUUGAGUGUUAAAGCCUGCAGGCGUUGCUCAACUGGGGUUGCAAGGUGUUGUGUCUCUGCGCUGCAGCGCAGGGGGAGAGUUACAAAAUAGGGGCUUAGUCGAAGGGCUCUGGAAAGGCCCACCAUAGAAGGUGAAAGUCCUGUAGGCGAAAAGCCUCCUAUCUCUCUAACAACAUCCUUGAGUACUGCGGGAGUUAACCCGCAGGAAUCCGGGAGAACCAUCUCCUAAGGCUAAAUACCUCUGGCGACCGAUAGCGAACAAAGUACCGCGAGGGAAAGGUGAAAAGAACCCCGGGAGGGGAGUGAAAUAGAACCUGAAACCGUAUGCCUACAAGCGGUGGAAGGACUAUGUAAAACUUGCUUCGGCGGGUUUUACAGUCUGACCGCAUGCCUAUUGAAGAAUGAGCCGGCGAGUUAUGGUGCGUGGCGUAGGUUAAGGAGUGACAUCCGGAGCCGUAGCGAAAGCGAGUCCGAAUAGGGCGCCGUCCUUCGGGACAAGUCGCGUACCAUAGACCCGAAACCGGGUGAUCUACCCAUGGCCAGGGUGAAACGGAACUAACCUUCCGUGGAGGCCCGAACCUGUGGGGGGUUAAAACUCCUAGGAUGAGCUGUGGGUAGCGGAGAAAUUCCAAUCGAACCCGGAGAUAGCUGGUUCUCCCCGAAAUGCAUUUAGGUGCAGCUUCAGGUUACUAGCGGGCGGUGGUAGAGCACUGAAUGGGCUAGGGGUCACACCAGGCUACCAAACCCAAUCAAACUCCGAAUGCCGCCUUGCCGUACCCUGGAAGUGAGACGGCGGGGGCUAAGCUUCGUCGUCAAAAGGGAAACAACCCAGAUUGCCAGCUAAGGUCCCUAAAUUCAGGCUAAGUGUCUAUUAAGGAGGUGAGGGCGCUUAGACAGCCAGGAUGUUGGCUCAGAAGCAGCCAUCAUUUAAAGAGUGCGUAACAGCUCACUGGUCAAGCGCUCUUGCGCCGACAAUGUUCGGGACUCAAGCCUGAUACCGAAGCUGCAGGUGUCGAACUUCGGUUCGACGCGGUAGGGGAGCGUUCCAUCUGGGGUGAAGGUAGACCGUAAGGACUACUGGACUGGAUGGAAGUGAGAAUGCCGGCAUAAGUAGCGAAAAGCAAGGUGAGAAUCCUUGCCGCCGCAAGCCUAAGGUUUCCUGGGGAAGGUUCGUCCGCCCAGGGUAAGCCGGGCCUAAGCCGAGGCCGAAAGGCGUAGGUGAUGGAUAAAUCGGUUAAUAUUCCGAUGCCACAUAUUCCCCGUAAAAAGCGAUGGGGGGACGCGGAGAGGUAAACGGAGCCGGUUAAUGGUUGUACCGGUCUAAGCCCGUAGGGUGGCUCCUAGGUAAAUCCGGGAGCCGUUAAGCCUGAGAGGUGAAUGGGAGCUGCAGCUUCGGCUGUGGCGAACUCCGUCCAACUAGCCGCCUGGAAAAGCCCCUAGCAUUGGGGGAUAUGUGUCCGUACCGCAAACCGACACAGGUAGGCGGGCAGAUUUCUGCCAAGGCGCGCGGAAGAACCCUGGUUAAGGAACUCGGCAAUCUAGCCCCGUAACUUCGGGAGAAGGGGUGCCCCUCCAACCCAAGAAAUUCACUUUCACGGGAGGGAGGGGUCGCAGCGAACAGGCUCAAGCGACUGUUUACCAAAAACACAGGUCUCUGCUAAGCCGAAAGGCGAUGUAUAGGGGCCGACGCCUGCCCAGUGCAGGAAGGUUAAGAGGAGGGGUUAGCCGCAAGGCGAAGCUCUGAAUCUAAGCCCCUGUGAACGGCGGCCGUAACUAUAACGGUCCUAAGGUGACUGACGUUGCCUUCUCGUCCGGUAACGGAUGAGUUCAUAUCCGGCUGUAUGCGGGAACACCCUUAGAGCCCAGUGCUACUCAGUGAAAUUUCUGAGUAAAAAUGCCUGGGAUUGGGCAAUCCGCAGGAAAUCCGUAAGGAGAUCCUCAGAGACUAUACGCCGGAUAUCCAGCCUUGCGCUUUCUCCAAAAGGAGGUCGCAAUGGAUCUUACUUACGAUUGGGUUGUGGGCUUUACGGAUGGCGAAGGGUGCUUUUACGUGGGAAUCAACAAGCAUCCUGAGAUGUCCGCUGGGUACCAGGUUCUGCCAGAGUUUCGGAUCGUUCAGCACAAGAGGGAUAUCCAAAUCCUCUAUGCCUUAAAACGGUUUUUUCAGGCUGGCGUUGUUCGCCAGAACAACGAAGACCGUUAUGAGCUGAGAAUCCGAAAGCUGGAAUCCUUAGAAAAAGUGGUGGACUUUUUCGAAAAGCAUCCCCUGAAGACCAAGAAAAAUGUAGAUUUUCAGCAUUUUUCCCGGGUAAUCAGGUGGAUGAAGGAGGGAAAACACUUGAGCAAGGAGGGAUUAAUUCAAAUUGCCCAACUUGUGAGGGAAAUGAACACUGGAAAUAAACCCCAAGCGGAAGCCAUCCUCCAAGAGCUUCAAUCCACUGGAUAAAGAUAUAGUCCAUCCCUGUUUGAAAGAACAGGAAGAAGAUGAGCGAAAUUCCUUGUCGGGUAAGUUCCGACCCGCAUGAAUGGCGUAACGACUUGAGCGCUGUCUCGACCAGGGAUCCGGCGAAAUUGCAGUGCCCGUGAAGAUGCGGGCUACCCGCGACAGGACGGAAAGACCCCGUGGAGCUUUACUGUACCCUGACAUUGGAUUUUGGCACACCUUGUGCAGGAUAGGUGGGAGGCUGAGAAACCGGGACGCCAGUUUCGGUGGAGCCGACCUUGAGAUACCACCCUUGGUAUGCUGGGAUUCUAACCUCGAGCCGUAAUCCGGCAGGGGGACAGUGUCAGGCGGGCAGUUUGACUGGGGCGGUCGCCUCCCAAAAGGUAACGGAGGCGCCCAAAGGUUCCCUCAGGCUGGUUGGCAAUCAGCUGUUGAGUGCAAAGGCAUAAGGGAGCCUGACUGCGAGACCUACAAGUCGAGCAGAGGCGAAAGCCGGGCUUAGUGAUCCUCGGAUCCCGUGUGGAAGGGUCCGGGCUUAACGGAUAAAAGCUACCCCGGGGAUAACAGGCUGAUCCUUCCCAAGAGUCCACAUCGACGGGAGGGUUUGGCACCUCGAUGUCGGCUCGUCGUAUCCUGGGGCUGGAGAAGGUCCCAAGGGUUGGGCUGUUCGCCCAUUAAAACGGCACGCGAGCUGGGUUCAGAACGUCGUGAGACAGUUCGGUCCUAAUCCGUCGCGGGCGCAAGGAAACUUGAGGAGUGCUGUCCCUAGUAUGAGAAGACCGGGAUAGACAGGCCUCUAGUGUACCGGUUGUCACGCCAGUGGCAGAAGCCGGGUAGCUAUGCCUGGUGGAAUAAGCGCUGAAAGCAUCUAAGCGCGAAGUCCUCUCCAAGAUCAGGUUUCCCUCACCGUCAUGGUGGUAAGGCCCCUGGUAGACUACCAGGUUGAUAGGCUGGAGGUGUAAGCCCAGCAAUGGGUUGAGCUGACCAGUACUAAUAGGCCGAGCGGCUUGACCUA
RNAcentral lists this ribosomal RNA (3735 nucleotides) under Caldisericota bacterium. RNAcentral's name for it is "23S ribosomal RNA". It matches the Rfam family "Bacterial large subunit ribosomal RNA". Lineage: Bacteria; Pseudomonadati; Caldisericota. The record is from RNAcentral.